RNAcentral lists this ribosomal RNA (1608 nucleotides) under human oral metagenome. RNAcentral describes it as "bacterial LSU rRNA". It matches the Rfam family "Bacterial large subunit ribosomal RNA", at positions 1103 to 2543 of the family's 2925-position model. The record is from RNAcentral.
GGCUUAGAAGCAGCCAUCCUUGAAAGAGUGCGUAAUAGCUCACUGGUCAAGUGGUUCCGCGCCGACAAUGUAGCGGGGCUUAAGCGUACCGCCGAAGCUGUGGCACUCACACGUGUAACACCUGGGCAGCGUAGUUGCCUUGUGGUGGUGUGGGUGGGUAGGGGAGCGUCCUGCGUGCGGUGAAGCCUGCUGGUAAUGGUGGGUGGAGCGUGUGGGAGUGAGAAUGCAGGCAUGAGUAACGAAUGACGGGUGGGAAUCCCGUCCGCCGAUUGACUAAGGGUUCCAGGGCUAGGUUUAUCCGCCCUGGGUUAGUCGGGUCCUAAGGCGAGGCCGACAGGCGUAGUCGAUGGACAACCAGUUGAUAUUCUGGUACCGCGUAACAACCGCCAAUACUGAAGCUUUUAUGCUAACCAUUUGCUUUCAUGUCGUCACAGCUUUCGGGUUGUGGUGGUUGUGGGAGUUGUGGGGCCCUGAUUGUUGUAGGUAAGCGUGUUAACAGGGGUGACACAGGAAGGUAGCUGCCGCGCACCGUUGGUUGUGUGUGUCUAAGGUUGUGGCCCGUUUCCUAGGUAAAUCCGGGGAACAUGAAGGGGUGAGGACUGAUGGGGGUGCCCCGUGUGGGGUGUCUGGUGGUGAUCCUCAACUGUCAAGAAAAGCCUCGACGUGAGGGUGUUACGCGCCCGUACCCUAAACCGACUCAGGUGGUCAGGUAGAGUAUACCGAGGCGUUCGAGUGAAUCAUGGUUAAGGAACUCGGCAAAAUUCCUCCGUAACUUCGGGAUAAGGAGGACCCCUUGGCCUGCCCCCGCCGCGCGCGGGGGCCGGGCCGGGGGGUCGCAGAGAAUAGGGAGAAGCGACUGUUUAUCAAAAACACAGGUGCGUGCGAAGCCGUAAGGCGAUGUAUACGCACUGACGCCUGCCCGGUGCUGGAAGGUUAAGAGGAACCGUCAACACCCCCCGGGGUGUGAAGCGGUGAAUUUAAGCCCCAGUAAACGGCGGUGGUAACUAUAACCAUCCUAAGGUAGCGAAAUUCCUUGUCGGGUAAGUUCCGACCUGCACGAAUGGCGUAACGACUUCUCCGCUGUCUCAACCGUGAACUCGGUGAAAUUGCAGUACGAGUAAAGAUGCUCGUUUCGCGCAGAAGGACGGAAAGACCCCGGGACCUUUACUAUAGCUUGGUAUUGGUGUUCGCUUGGACUUGUGUAGGAUAGGUGGGAGACUGUGAAGCUGCCGCGCCAGCGGUGGUGGAGUCGUCGUUGAAAUACCAUUCUGGUUCAAGCGGUCACCUCAACCUUGGCCCGUGAUCCGGGUUGGGGACAGUGCCUGGUGGGUAGUUUAACUGGGGCGGUUGCCUCCUAAAAUGUAACGGAGGCGCUCAAAGGUUCCCUCAGCCUGGUUGGUAAUCAGGUGGCGAGUGCAAGUGUACAAGGGAGCUUGACUGUGAGACCGACGGGUCGAGCAGGUGCGAAAGCAGGAACUAGUGAUCCGGCCAUGGCACGUGGGUGCGUGGUCGCUCAACGGAUAAAAGGUACCCCGGGGAUAACAGGCUGAUCUUGCCCAAGAGUCCAUAUCGACGGCAUGGUUUGGCACCUCGAUGUCGGCUCGUCGC